RNAcentral lists this non-coding RNA (31 nucleotides) under Mus musculus (house mouse). The record is from RNAcentral. Lineage: Eukaryota; Metazoa; Chordata; Mammalia; Rodentia; Muridae.
UGCAAAAUGUGGUGACUCCCCCCAAGUCUGU